RNAcentral lists this ribosomal RNA (450 nucleotides) under uncultured bacterium. RNAcentral's name for it is "partial 16S ribosomal RNA". It matches the Rfam family "Bacterial small subunit ribosomal RNA", at positions 354 to 796 of the family's 1533-position model. The record is from RNAcentral.
GUGGGGAAUUUUGGACAAUGGGGGCAACCCUGAUCCAGCCAUCCCGCGUGUGCGAUGAAGGCCUUCGGGUUGUAAAGCACUUUUGGCAGGGAAGAAAAGUUUCGGGCUAAUACCCUGGAGCGAUGACGGUACCUGCAGAAUAAGCACCGGCUAACUACGUGCCAGCAGCCGCGGUAAUACGUAGGGUGCAAGCGUUAAUCGGAAUUACUGGGCGUAAAGCGUGCGCAGGCGGUUCGGAAAGAAAGAUGUGAAAUCCCAGGGCUUAACCUUGGAACUGCAUUUUUAACUGUCGAACUCGAGUAUGUCAGAGGGGGGUAGAAUUCCACGUGUAGCAGUGAAAUGCGUAGAGAUGUGGAGGAAUACCGAUGGCGAAGGCAGCCCCCUGGGAUAAUACUGACGCUCAUGCACGAAAGCGUGGGGAGCAAACAGGAUUAGAAACCCUAGUAGUCC